GAUGAACGCUGGCGGCGUGCCUAAUACAUGCAAGUCGAGCGAACGGACGAGAAGCUUGCUUCUCUGAUGUUAGCGGCGGACGGGUGAGUAACACGUGGAUAACCUACCUAUAAGACUGGGAUAACUUCGGGAAACCGGAGCUAAUACCGGAUAAUAUUUUGAACCGCAUGGUUCAAAAGUGAAAGACGGUCUUGCUGUCACUUAUAGAUGGAUCCGCGCUGCAUUAGCUAGUUGGUAAGGUAACGGCUUACCAAGGCGACGAUGCAUAGCCGACCUGAGAGGGUGAUCGGCCACACUGGAACUGAGACACGGUCCAGACUCCUACGGGAGGCAGCAGUAGGGAAUCUUCCGCAAUGGGCGGAAGCCUGACGGAGCAACGCCGCGUGAGUGAUGAAGGUCUUCGGAUCGUAAAACUCUGUUAUUAGGGAAGAACAUAUGUGUAAGUAACUGUGCACAUCUUGACGGUACCUAAUCAGAAAGCCACGGCUAGCUACGUG
RNAcentral lists this ribosomal RNA (497 nucleotides) under uncultured bacterium. Its description in RNAcentral is "partial 16S ribosomal RNA". It matches the Rfam family "Bacterial small subunit ribosomal RNA", at positions 28 to 507 of the family's 1533-position model. The record is from RNAcentral.